GUCCUUUCGUACUGAUAUGAAUUAAUAAUCUUAGGAUAGAAACCGACCUGGCUCACGCCGGUCUGAACUCAGAUCAUGUAAGGAUUUAAAGGUCGAAUAGACCUAAUUAAUGGGCUCCUGCACCCAAAAUUUUUCUUAAUCCAACAUCGAGGUCGCAAUCUGCUUUGUCGAUAUGAGCUCUCAAAAACAAUUACGCUGUUAUCCCUAAGGUAACUUAAUCUUAUGAUCAUAAAUUAUGGAUCAAAACAACAAACAUAAAUAAAUGAUAUAAUAAUGAAGAGUUUAUUUAUUCUUCAUG
Molecule: long non-coding RNA, 298 nt
Organism: Schistocerca cancellata (South American locust)
Lineage: Eukaryota; Metazoa; Arthropoda; Insecta; Orthoptera; Acrididae
Exons: 2
Source: RefSeq, a predicted model, not a curated record